RNAcentral lists this long non-coding RNA (340 nucleotides) under Lathyrus oleraceus (garden pea). RNAcentral's name for it is "Pisum sativum (pea) long non-coding RNA (PSAT_LNC017664)". Lineage: Eukaryota; Viridiplantae; Streptophyta; Magnoliopsida; Fabales; Fabaceae. The record is from RNAcentral.
UUUGUUUAAGUGAGAAACAUAGGUGGUAAUGAAACUUCUUUUGUGUUGUUUUUCGGUGGAUGCCGAUGGAGACACGAGGGUAGUCGGAGAGAAAUAGGGGCGGUGAAGGAUGGUUGGUUAUGAUGUUUUUGUUGUUUCGCGGUUUCGAAUCUCGUGUGAUGGAGAAGCUGAAUAAAAUAUGUGUGUUAUUGUGUUUGUUUGGGGGUGAAUAGUGUGUUUUGAUUGUUGUUUGUGCAGGAGGAUGAGGAAAGUUAUGAUAGGUGAUGCAGAUGAAUGAGAUGGAGUUUAUGGUUACUAUAUAUGUGAAGAAGAAAAAUGAUCAAAACGUGGAAUCUCAAUU